GACGAACGCUGGCGGCGUGCUUAACACAUGCAAGUCGAACGGAAAGGCCCUGCUUUUGUGGGGUGCUCGAGUGGCGAACGGGUGAGUAACACGUGAGUAACCUGCCCUUGACUUUGGGAUAACUUCAGGAAACUGGGGCUCAUACCGGAUAGGGGCUCCUGCUGCAUGGUGGGGGUUGGAAAGUUUCGGCGGAUGGGGAUGGACUCGCGGCUUAUCAGCUUGUUGGUGGGGUAGUGGCUUACCAAGGCUGUGACGGGUAGCCGGCCUGAGAGGGUGACCGGCCACAUUGGGACUGAGAUACGGCCCAGACUCCUACGGGAGGCAGCAGUGGGGAAUAUUGCACAAUGGGCGGAAGCCUGAUGCAGCAACGCUGCGUGCGGGAUGACGGCCUUCGGGUGGUAAACCGCUUUCGCCUGUGACGAAGCGUGAGUGACGGUAAUGGGUAAAGAAGCACCGGCUAACUACGUG
Molecule: ribosomal RNA, 468 nt
Filed under: uncultured bacterium
Lineage: Bacteria
Description: partial 16S ribosomal RNA
Rfam family: Bacterial small subunit ribosomal RNA
Source: RNAcentral